UCCGGCUUAUCACCGGCAGUUUCCUCAGAGUGCUCAGCUUAACCUGGUAGCAACAGAGGACGAGGGUUGCGCUCGUUGCGGGACUUAACCCAACAUCUCACGACACGAGCUGACGACAGCCAUGCAGCACCUGUGUUCCCCCCACCCGAAGUGAAGGACUCUCUUUCAAGAGUCCAAAAGGGACAUGUCGAAUCCUGGUAAGGUUCUUCGCGUUGCCUCGAAUUAAACCACAUGUUCCACCGCUUGUGCGGGUCCCCGUCAAUUUCUUUGAGUUUUAAUCUUGCGACCGUACUCCCCAGGCGGGGUGCUUAACGCGUUAGCUGCGCUACUUAGGGGUAACCCCCAAACAGCUAGCACCCAUCGUUUACAGCACGGACUAC
RNAcentral lists this unclassified non-coding RNA (380 nucleotides) under uncultured Rickettsiales bacterium. RNAcentral describes it as "contains 16S-23S intergenic spacer region". The record is from RNAcentral. Lineage: Bacteria; Pseudomonadati; Pseudomonadota; Alphaproteobacteria; Rickettsiales.